Molecule: ribosomal RNA, 246 nt
Filed under: uncultured bacterium
Lineage: Bacteria
Description: partial 16S ribosomal RNA
Rfam family: Bacterial small subunit ribosomal RNA
Source: RNAcentral
CGGGUGAGUAACGCGUGGAUAAUCUACCCUUAAGAUGGGGAUAACGGGCUGGAAACGGUCGCUAAUACCGAAUACGCUCCCGAUUUUUAUCAUUGGGGGGAAAGGAUGGCCUCUGCUUGCAAGCUAUCGCUUAAGGAUGAGUCCGCGUCCCAUUAGCUAGUUGGCGGGGUAACGGCCCACCAAGGCAACGAUGGGUAGCCGGUCUGAGAGGAUGACCGGCCACACUGGAACUGGAACACGGUCCAG